RNAcentral lists this unclassified non-coding RNA (238 nucleotides) under Hevea brasiliensis (rubber tree). Lineage: Eukaryota; Viridiplantae; Streptophyta; Magnoliopsida; Malpighiales; Euphorbiaceae. The record is from RNAcentral.
AGCAAAUCCACACAAGAUUAAUAUCGUUGCACAAGAGGUUGAUAGAGCAUUACAUAUUUAGAUGAGGCACACAACCAAAGAAGCAGCAGCAGCUGACCAAAGUUUAGACCCAUACAUAGGGCAACCAGUCAUUGCAUACAAGAUGAUACUAGUGGAUUAUGGCAGCUUCUCUUUUUCUCUUCUGAUUGAGCAGAGAGAUGCCACCGCCAUUAUUUCUUGAGGUGAGGGAAGCACGCGG